GGACCCGACUGCUAUUUGGGUGAGAAUAAGCCAUGCAAGUCGAAUGGAAUACCAAAAUAUUCCAUGGCAAACUGCUCAAUAACACGUGAUCAACUUACCCUAUGGAAAACAAUAACCUCUGGAAACGGAGGAUAAUGGUUUAUAGUUGAAAAGGCUUGGAAAAGUUUUUCAAUAAAAGGGAAUAAUAAAAAUGGUUAUUAUUUUGCCAUAGGAUAGGAUUGCGGUCGAUUAUGGCUGUUGGUGAGGUAAUGGCUCACCAAACCAAUAAUCGAUAGGGGCCGUGAGAGCGGGAGCCCCGAGAUGGGUACUGAGACAACGACCCAGGCCUUACGAGGCGCAGCAGGCGCGGAACCUCCGCAAUACACGAAAGUGUGACGGGGUUACCCAAAGUGUUCAAUUUGAACUGUGGUAGGUGAGUAAUGUCCCCUACUAGAAAGGAGAGGGCAAGGCUGGUGCCAGCCGCCGCGGUAAAACCAGCUCUUCAAGUGGUCGGGAUAAUUAUUGGGCUUAAAGUGUCCGUAGCCGGUUUAGUAAGUUCCUGGUAAAAUCGGGUAGCUUAACUAUCUGCAUGCUAGGAAUACUGCUAUACUAGAGGGCGGGAGAGGUCUGAGGUACUACAGGGGUAGGGGUGAAAUCUUAUAAUCCUUGUAGGACCACCAGUGGCGAAGGCGUCAGACUGGAACGCGCCUGACGGUGAGGGACGAAAGCCAGGGGAGCGAACCGGAUUAGAUACCCGGGUAGUCCUGGCCGUAAACGAUGCAUACUAGGUGAUGGUACGGCCAUGAGCCGUAUCAGUGCCGUAGGGAAACCGUUAAGUGUGCCGCCUGGGAAGUACGGUCGCAAGGCUAAAACUUAA
RNAcentral lists this ribosomal RNA (856 nucleotides) under uncultured archaeon. Its description in RNAcentral is "bacterial SSU rRNA". It matches the Rfam family "Archaeal small subunit ribosomal RNA", at positions 19 to 859 of the family's 1478-position model. The record is from RNAcentral.